Molecule: non-coding RNA, 102 nt
Filed under: Orenia metallireducens
Lineage: Bacteria; Bacillati; Bacillota; Clostridia; Halanaerobiales; Halobacteroidaceae
Also listed under: 1 other name
Description: Purine riboswitch aptamer
Rfam family: Purine riboswitch aptamer
About the family: Riboswitches are metabolite binding domains within certain messenger RNAs that serve as precision sensors for their corresponding targets. Allosteric rearrangement of mRNA structure is mediated by ligand binding, and this results in modulation of gene expression.
Source: Rfam by way of RNAcentral
UAAAAACGAAUAUUCUUGCUCAGUAUAUAUGUAGGGAUAGGGCCUACACGUUUCUACCAGACAGCCGUAAACUGUCUGACUACUUGGGGAAGUUUACUUAGG